RNAcentral lists this ribosomal RNA (216 nucleotides) under Glomeromycotina sp. RNAcentral describes it as "partial small subunit ribosomal RNA". The stretch from base 40 to 216 matches the Rfam family "Eukaryotic small subunit ribosomal RNA", at positions 686 to 864 of the family's 1831-position model. The record is from RNAcentral. Lineage: Eukaryota; Fungi; Glomeromycota.
GGGUCAGUAGGUUGGUCGCGCCACCGGUACGUACUGGUCUCACUGAUUCCUCCUUCCUGAAGAACCGUAAUGCCAUUAAUUUGGUGUUGCGGGGAAACAGGACUGUUACUUUGAAAAAAUUAGAGUGCUUAAAGCAAGCUAACGCUUGAAUACAUUAGCAUGGAAUAAUGAAAUAGGACGAUCGAUCCUAUUUUGUUGGUUUCUAGGAUUGACGUA